Molecule: unclassified non-coding RNA, 329 nt
Filed under: soil metagenome
Description: partial contains 5.8S ribosomal RNA, internal transcribed spacer 2, and large subunit ribosomal RNA
Rfam family: 5.8S ribosomal RNA (bases 1-120)
Source: RNAcentral
GAUGAAGAACGCAGCGAAAUGCGAUAAGUAAUGUGAAUUGCAGAAUUCAGUGAAUCAUCGAAUCUUUGAACGCACAUUGCGCCCCCUGGUAUUCCGGGGGGCAUGCCUGUCCGAGCGUCAUUACAACCCUCAAGCUCAGCUUGGUGUUGGGCCCCGCCGCCCCGGCGGGCCCUAAAGUCAGUGGCGGUGCCGUCCGGCUCCGAGCGUAGUAAUUCUUCUCGCUCUGGAGGUCCGGUCGUGUGCUCGCCAGCAACCCCCAAUUUUUUUCCGGUUGACCCCGGAUCAGGUAGGGAUACCCGCUGAACUUAAGCAUAUCAAUAAGCGGAGGA